UAAGACGAUGGGGGCUAGCGUUGUUCGGAAUUACUGGGCGUAAAGCGAGUGUAGGUGGUUUUCCAAGUUGGAUGUGAAAGCCUUGAGCUCAACUCAAGAAAUGCAUUCAGGACUGGGAGACUAGAGGACCGGAGAGGAUAGUGGAAUUCCCAGUGUAGUGGUGAAAUACGUAGAGAUUGGGAAGAACACCAGUGGCGAAGGCGGCUAUCUGGACGGUUUCUGACACUAAGACUCGAAAGCGUGGGGAGCAAACAG
This 255-nucleotide ribosomal RNA is filed under the name uncultured prokaryote. RNAcentral describes it as "partial 16S ribosomal RNA". It matches the Rfam family "Bacterial small subunit ribosomal RNA", at positions 521 to 775 of the family's 1533-position model. The record is from RNAcentral.